RNAcentral lists this ribosomal RNA (496 nucleotides) under uncultured bacterium. RNAcentral describes it as "partial 16S ribosomal RNA". It matches the Rfam family "Bacterial small subunit ribosomal RNA", at positions 28 to 506 of the family's 1533-position model. The record is from RNAcentral.
GACGAACGCUGGCGGCGUGCCUAAUACAUGCAAGUUGAGCGCUGAAGGUUGGUACUUGUACCCACUGGAUGAGCAGCGAACGGGUGAGUAACGCGUGGGGAAUCUGCCUUUGAGCGGGGGACAACAUUUGGAAACGAAUGCUAAUACCGCAUAAAAACUUUAAACACAAGUUUUAAGUUUGAAAGAUGCAAUUGCAUCACUCAAAGAUGAUCCCGCGUUGUAUUAGCUAGUUGGUGAGGUAAAGGCUCACCAAGGCGAUGAUACAUAGCCGACCUGAGAGGGUGAUCGGCCACAUUGGGACUGAGACACGGCCCAAACUCCUACGGGAGGCAGCAGUAGGGAAUCUUCGGCAAUGGACGAAAGUCUGACCGAGCAACGCCGCGUGAGUGAAGAAGGUUUUCGGAUCGUAAAACUCUGUUGGUAGAGAAGAACGUUGGUGAGAGUGGAAAGCUCAUCAAGUGACGGUAACGACCCAGAAAGGGACGGCUAACUACGU